AUCAACCGAGAUUCCCCCAGUAGCGGCGAGCGAACGGGGAGCAGCCCAGAGUCUGAAUCAGCUUGUGUGUUAGUGGAACGGUCUGGAAAGUCCGACGGUACAGGGUGAUAGUCCCGUACACCAAAAUGCACAGGUUGUGAACUCGAAGAGUAGGGCGGGACACGUGGUAUCCUGUCUGAAUAUGGGGGGACCAUCCUCCAAGGCUAAAUACUCCUGACUGACCGAUAGUGAACCAGUACCGUGAGGGAAAGGCGAAAAGAACCCCGGCG
This 269-nucleotide ribosomal RNA is filed under the name Klebsiella quasipneumoniae subsp. similipneumoniae. RNAcentral describes it as "partial 23S ribosomal RNA". It matches the Rfam family "Bacterial large subunit ribosomal RNA", at positions 224 to 531 of the family's 2925-position model. Lineage: Bacteria; Pseudomonadati; Pseudomonadota; Gammaproteobacteria; Enterobacterales; Enterobacteriaceae. The record is from RNAcentral.